This 718-nucleotide long non-coding RNA is filed under the name Dicentrarchus labrax (European seabass). Its description in RNAcentral is "lncRNA (ENSDLAG00005031099.1)". The record is from RNAcentral. Lineage: Eukaryota; Metazoa; Chordata; Actinopteri; Moronidae.
UGUUAUAUGAAUUCAUACUUGAUUUGUGAUGAUGACUUAAUAAUGUUUCCAUGUCUCUUUUAGGUUGACCACCCUAUAUAUGAGACCCUAAGGGGUUGUUUUCCCUCUGUCCCCUUUUGAGGACCUGCUUUGUCUCCUCCAUCAUUCACUGGGCCACUUUUGGGUUCCUGAGCUUAUUUCAUGUGGUCAUGAAUUUGGUGAGGAGUGGAGCUGGCUGGCUGCGGACGAGGAAGUAGGGCAAUAUAUACAUGUGCACAUACACGUAUAUGAGAAUGCAUAUCUAUUCAGACCUGUAAUUCACGCCUUAGGCUUUUUCACACUGCUAUAGAUAAUAAUUUUUUUUUCAAUUCUCUAUUUAUGGUUUCACAAUGACUGAGUCACCGUUAAAACAAAUGAGUUUCAGCUCUAAUGCUGCUACUGUCUGUAAUAUGUUUCUAUUUAGAUUAUUUGUUUGAUAUUUUGUUAUUAUUGUCCGAGUCUGGUUUUAACUAAUGCUGGGCUUACACCAAAAGAUUUUCACAGUCACAGACUAAAAACUGAAAGGGUAGCAUGAGGGUUCUUCCCGUUAGUCUCGUCCCACCCCUAGUCAUGACAUAACUUCUGUUGUGAUUUGACACUAUAAUGAAUAAAGACUGAUUGAUUGAUUGCUAUAGCUGUCAAUUUUAGUCCUUGAGUUCAUAGUUACGUGCUUUAUUUGUUAACUGCUAUCAAGGAAUAU